AAGAAGUCCCGGCAAACUCCGUGCCAGCAGCCGCGGUAAUACGGAGGGGGCAAGCGUUGUUCGGAAUUAUUGGGCGUAAAGGGCAUGUAGGCGGUUUGGUAAGUUAAAGGUGAAAUACCAGGGCUUAACCCUGGGGCUGCUUUUAAUACUGCAGGACUAGAGUCCGGAAGAGGAUAGCGGAAUUCCUAGUGUAGAGGUGAAAUUCGUAGAUAUUAGGAGGAACACCAGUGGCGAAGGCGGCUGUCUGGUCCGGUACUGACGCUGAGGUGCGAAAGCGUGGGGAGCAAACAGGAUUA
RNAcentral lists this ribosomal RNA (296 nucleotides) under Anaplasma ovis. RNAcentral's name for it is "partial 16S ribosomal RNA". It matches the Rfam family "Bacterial small subunit ribosomal RNA", at positions 485 to 780 of the family's 1533-position model. The record is from RNAcentral. Lineage: Bacteria; Pseudomonadati; Pseudomonadota; Alphaproteobacteria; Rickettsiales; Anaplasmataceae.